Protopterus annectens (West African lungfish) is the source of this 1814-nucleotide long non-coding RNA. RefSeq lists it as uncharacterized. The transcript has 4 exons. The record is from RefSeq and is a predicted model, not a curated record. Lineage: Eukaryota; Metazoa; Chordata; Ceratodontiformes; Protopteridae.
UAUGUGUCAGCGUAUGUGUGCGUGGUUGUCUGUAUGCAUACAUUUUGUAUAGUUCUGUGUAGUUUCAGCAGAAUUGCAUGCCACUCCCUCUGGUAUGAAGCUCUGAUAGUGAACUGCUCCCAGUUCAAACUGGCUUGUAGGGCUCUGAAGUCAGAACUGGUGCAUUUUUUUCACAGAUUUCACUUCUUUAGUGUCUGCAGAAGUCAUCUUAUCUUAAAAAGGCUAACGGAAAUAUCCUUGGACCUUCAUGAUAAAUUUCACAUGAAAUUUGUCAGAGUAGAAUAUCCUGCCAUAAAAAUGUCUGAUGCUGCAAAGGAAUAUGAAAAUCACUUGCAAAGUUCAGCCUGCAGUGUUGUGUAACUUCAUUAAUCUGAGUGUUGGCAAGAUCAGUGAGAAUACAUCAUAUGUCACAACACGGAGGUGUGUUACUAAGCAAGAAAAAGUGCAAAGAAAACAGUAUUGGGAAAAUAAUGUUUCGCCUACAAAAGGAAUAAUGUCCGAUCAGUAUUCCUGAAGGAAGACUGUAUAGUUUUACCUAGUCCAGUCGUUAGAAGUGCCGAGAAUAAGGGGAAUGAUUCCAUCCAUUUGGUGAAGAAAAGUUCCUGAAAGACACACAUCAUAAGAGUGAUGUGAUUUACCCUAGAAUUCUAUGAAAACAAAGCAAUAAGGCAUCUGCUACUGUGCAGGAUAGAGGGAGUGCUUCACACAGCAAUACACUACGUGUGGAAAUGAUGACGCCAUAAUCUUGCACCAUAAGAGCAUGCUGCUGUACAAUAUAAGAUUUCAGCAUGCCCACUGCUAGGAAGAACAUAGUAAGUGGUAAGACAGAGUCAACUACAAUAAAAUGGUUGGGCAGCUUGCUCAACACCAACAGUUAACUGAUUUUGACCUCUAUCUUUCCUCUAACGUGGAAUUCCUGGGACUGAAGCUUCUGUAUAAAUUUGUGCCUUAUGGGAAUGUUAAGUAAAGAUGAAAAUAUAUCUCUAAAUGAUCAGUCUUAGUAAUCAUAUUAAGUGCUUUAGUCAAGAUGUUCAUAUAGGUGGCCAGUUUAUCAACAGUCAUUGUGAAUUCAGAAAAAGGGGGUUAAUUCCUGUAGUGGCCUGUUCCAAGUAUGUGACCUUACAGAUGACAUUUAAGAGCUAUGUACUUACUUUUUUUUUGCUGCUGUAAAUAGGCCUCAUGUCUACAAGUUCAACAUUAGUUUGCAAAGAGAUAUAUUUUAAUCAGAUGGAGGGAAUAUUCAGUGCUCUGCGGCAAACAAAAAUCAUUUGUAAGACAAAGUUCAGGAGACAUGAAUUUAACAAUUGCAGAAUAUAGUCUUCCUAACAAAGAUAGAUGAACUUAAAUUACAUCAUCUAUAAGUGCUUCUAGGAAAGAAGCUUACAAAUAAGGAAAUGCUGAAAUGCAUCACUGGCUGCUCAUCUGACACAGGAAUCACUCUGACAUAGUAACAGCUGGUUCUGCCUGCUUUAGUAAAACCACCCCCUUAACUACAGGCUCACAUCAGGAAGACUAUAUCACCAACUCUUUCCUUCCAUGUUAUCUGACCCUGUGAUUAUGUUUCUGAGAGGGGGAUUGGCUCUCAGACAGAACUCUUCAUCUUGCAUAAUACAGCUCAUCUCAUAUGACUUCUCUUUUUAACAAUUUCUGAAACGUUACAAAAUUAAGUGGAAACCAGCUCACAGAAUGCACAGAUACUGGCAACAUUAGAGAAUACAAUACUUCAAGGUACUUAAAAGAACAUGUACAAACUUUCUUUCAUGUUAUUCAGAAUAUUUCCUAAUAUGCUGUUCUCACACCCCUUUCUUGGCACC